Molecule: long non-coding RNA, 426 nt
Organism: Heterocephalus glaber (naked mole-rat)
Lineage: Eukaryota; Metazoa; Chordata; Mammalia; Rodentia; Bathyergidae
Source: Ensembl
UGUAACCCAAUGCAGUGAGUUCACCUCUUAAUGAGUGCAAACCCAGUAAGCACAACCAGGAGGUAAGAGUGGAGAGAGAAUCAUUACUUGCAGCAGACAGGAUCUUGCUAUGCAGCCCAGGCUGACCUCAAACUCAUGGCAAUCCUCCUGCCUCAGCAUCCCAAGUGCUGGGAUCACAGGUCUUUUUGUGUCUUGUGCAGUCUCCUGGGUGUUAUGGACCUGGUGAGGUGUCAGCAACAAAGUAGUGAAGAAUGGAUGUCAUCGCACUGACAGUGCAAGAGGAGAGAACCCUUGCUGUAUGGCCUCCAUAGGCAAUCCUCCUUUUCUAGGGACAAUGUAUGCAGCCCAGUGUAAGCUGCCUCCCAAAAUAAAAAUUCUGCAUCUACCAUUGGCCCUCUAUUUGUAAAUUAGGAAACACAUCUCCCU